ACGAACGCUGGCGGCGUGCUUAACACAUGCAAGUCGAACGGAAAGGCCCUGCUUUUGUGGGGUGCUCGAGUGGCGAACGGGUGAGUAACACGUGAGUAACCUGCCCUUGACUUUAGGAUAACUUCAGGAAACUGGGGCUAAUACCGGAUAGGAGCUCCUGCUGCAUGGUGGGGGUUGGAAAGUUUCGGCGGUUGGGGAUGAACUCGCGGCUUAUCAGCUUGUUGGUGGGGUAGUGGCUUACCAAGGCUUUGACGGGUAGCCGGCCUGAGAGGGUGACCGGCCACAUUGGGACUGAGAUACGGCCCAGACUCCUACGGGAGGCAGCAGUGGGGAAUAUUGCACAAUGGGCGGAAGCCUGAUGCAGCAACGCCGCGUGCGGGAUGACGGCCUUCGGGUUGUAAACCGCUUUCGCCUGUGACGAAGCGUGAGUGACGGUAAUGGGUAAAGAAGCACCGGCUAACUACGUG
Molecule: ribosomal RNA, 467 nt
Filed under: uncultured bacterium
Lineage: Bacteria
Description: partial 16S ribosomal RNA
Rfam family: Bacterial small subunit ribosomal RNA
Source: RNAcentral